Apis florea (little honeybee) is the source of this 631-nucleotide long non-coding RNA. The record is from RefSeq and is a predicted model, not a curated record. Lineage: Eukaryota; Metazoa; Arthropoda; Insecta; Hymenoptera; Apidae.
UUUAUGAUAGAAAUAAAUAUGUAAAAAAUAUACGGUUAAACGCAAAUUGAAAUAUCUUUAAAAUUUAAGAGAAGAGUUUUUCGAAUUCCUGACAAUUGUUCAUAGUAAGAGUAUGUUUAAAUGUGUCACUAGAUAUCUUUCAGAGCGACCGGGUCGAUCGUUGUGCAGGGAUGUGGGUCAGGCAUACGCCCGAACCCCCUGGAUUUUCAUCUCGUCCCUUUCUCCGAUAAACAUAGAAUAUUCUCUGGAAUCCUCGGAACUUUUCAUAAAAAAAUUUUCUUUAUGACGGUCAUUAUCUAAACUCGUUUAUAUAUAUACUUAUCUUUGAAAUAGAAAAAUAAAUUUCGCCUGUCAUAAAAAUGCAAUUAGGUAACUUAAAAUUCUCGUUAAAAACUUCUUAAUUUUAUAAUUACUUCCUUACCUUAUCGCAAUCUUUUUCAUGUAUUUAAAAAGCGAAGAAUGUGUUCAAUGGAAAAUAUUGGUAUUCAUUAUUACUGUAUUUAAUAUUUUAUUGUAAUAACUCAUAAAUAAUACAAUCAUAUCGUAAUAUCACGAUCGUAACCAUAUUUUAAACAUUUUAGUCGACAACCUUAGCUGGGAUCUUGAAGCAUACUUGAGAAUUGUUAUUUUC